RNAcentral lists this transfer RNA (61 nucleotides) under Hyalomma truncatum. Its description in RNAcentral is "tRNA-Ala". The record is from RNAcentral. Lineage: Eukaryota; Metazoa; Arthropoda; Arachnida; Ixodida; Ixodidae.
AGAAAGAUAAUUAAAAUAAUAAUUUUUAAUUUGCAUUUAAAAUUUGGGGUUCCUCUUUCUA